GCAACAUUUAAUCUCCAGCGCCAAGUUGCUAGGACAUCUUAGACUAUUGGGUUCUGCUCAGGCAUAAUUCCAUCAUUACCAUUGAUUUGUUCGCUCACGCUCCCCAUGGUGCUUUUAAUCAGCUCUCCAUCUUUGUGCCUUCACACCUUUACGCUUUUCAUGAUUGGCUCUGCUACCUUCUGCCUCUGCAAUGAAAUAGUGCCGUAGAAAUCCUUCUGCAUCUUACACACUUUAACAAUUCCAUUUCUUCUCUCUCUGGUCCAGUGAAGGGAUGUCCCUUUCCCACAAAGGCACCACUGUCUCUACAAAGCUCUCUGCAUUGUAUACAGAAGAUAAAACUAACACACUGGUAAAGGAGCAUUCUCGAAGAGUCAGGAGUGGACUGUAAUUGAAGAGUUCAUUACCAAGAUCAGUUGGCUCCUUGAUUACAGUGGCAAGGUGAAAUAUAUAUCCUCACCAAAAAGCGACUGCUAAACCUUUAGAGAAGUCACCCACUUUUCACUCUUUUUCAUUAGGACCCCGACAAGCUUGUCAGCAAAAUUAAAGGUAUGUCAUUCACAUCGUGCAUGCAUUGCAAAGGACUAUAAACCUGCCAACCUCUUUGAUGAAAUAAAAGGGUUUUA
This 623-nucleotide long non-coding RNA is filed under the name Struthio camelus australis. Its description in RNAcentral is "lncRNA (ENSSCUG00000011135.1)". Lineage: Eukaryota; Metazoa; Chordata; Aves; Struthioniformes; Struthionidae. The record is from RNAcentral.